CGGCUGGCGGCUGGCGGCUGGCGGCUGACGGCUGGCGGCUGACGGCAUCGGGUUAUGUUCGGUUGCGCCGGUCCGAGCCCAGCCGAUCCGA
Molecule: transfer RNA, 91 nt
Filed under: Pandoraea cepalis
Lineage: Bacteria; Pseudomonadati; Pseudomonadota; Betaproteobacteria; Burkholderiales; Burkholderiaceae
Description: Pandoraea sp. LMG 31106 tRNA-Ala
Source: RNAcentral